CUGGUGCCUCCGGAGGCCGAGCAGCCCCUCGGCAGGAGCGAGGGGGGUGUUAGGGGGAAGCCGGGGGCGCGGGUCCAGGCGGAGGGCUCACCCCCUCCCUCCCUCCCCUCUCCCGCAGGUCUCUUCGAGCAGAGGGUCGAGCAGUAUUUGGAAGAGCUUCCCGACACAGAACAAAGCGGAGUAAACAAGUUCCUGCGAGGCCUCGGAAACAAAAUGAAGUUCCUUCACAAGAAGAACUGACUCCUUUCUGCUGAAAUACCAACCCAAAGACUAUUUAUGAAGCUGUGUGGGAGAUGCCGGCGGCGCCGUGCGGGAGGAGAGUGGGGCAGCCCACGGACGCUGUCAGACAUUGUGCCAGAUGAUGGCUCCUUUAUGUAUUUGGGUAGAAUUUGUACAUAAUGUGCUGUAAGCUUUUGUAACUGAUUUUGUAAUGAGCAAGGAAAACUGUGGUAAAUAUUUGUAUAUUCCUGAGAAUAACAGGUGCUUUGUUGUUGGUUUUUUUUUUUUGGUUUUUUUGGUUUUUUUUUUCCUUUAGUAUGAAUUGAGUUAUGCUUGGUGCAAAAAAAAUGACUAGCUGGUUAUGUGCAGCUGACUGUCUCAGCAGAACCACUGACUUCACGGGAUGUUUGUGAGAGCUACACUGAUGCCUGGGUACUGCGGGGAUGAAUGAGCUCGGGUACGUGGGGAGGGGGCUGCUUUCACGUGGCAGAGUUGCUAUUUUAUUUUUAUUUUUUUUUUCCUUCUAAUUAAUUUUAAAAGAAAGAAAUUACAAAGUAACUUGAUAAUAGGGUACUUGGUUCACAAUACAGAACUUCCACUUGGCUUGAACUCUGGUCAGUAAACUACUUGUAAUCCAUUCUGCACUAAGACUGCUCAGCCUGAGGAGAUCUCAGUCCUUUGACAUGCGAGCUGCAACCAGUAGGUACAGGACAUCCUUUCCUCAUGUAUGUAUUUAUGGUUUCUAAUAAACUCUGUAAAUAUACCUCUUUGUUUAUAUUCAUUGCACACCUCUGCGGUUUCUGAUGUUGAGGAGGGACAAAACCAGCGUCAAUUUCCUGUGACUUUUAAUGAAUUUGUAAUUAAAAUACAAAAUGGUUAUUA
Molecule: long non-coding RNA, 1101 nt
Organism: Calidris pugnax (ruff)
Lineage: Eukaryota; Metazoa; Chordata; Aves; Charadriiformes; Scolopacidae
Exons: 2
Source: RefSeq, a predicted model, not a curated record